Mustela lutreola (European mink) is the source of this 942-nucleotide long non-coding RNA. RefSeq lists it as uncharacterized. Lineage: Eukaryota; Metazoa; Chordata; Mammalia; Carnivora; Mustelidae. The transcript has 4 exons. The record is from RefSeq and is a predicted model, not a curated record.
CGCCCGCCGCCCGGCUCGCGUCCCCCCUGCGCGCGGGGAGGGCGCCCAGUUCCGAGGUGGCGCGAAGGGCGCCCAGCCGCGGGAGCUGGCGAGGAGCAGGGGGUGGGCCCAGCCCUGCCCGAAGACCGCGCCCGCCAGCCUCAGUUUCCCCGUCCGCCCAGUGAGAGGCUGGAAUGAGAUGAAGGUCCCCCAUCCUGACAUUGCAGGAGUGAGCCACAAAGGAAAAGAAGUCCAUCUCCACCUGCCCGCUGUGCCUCUGUGUUCUCCAGGAGGGGGCUGUGACGCGAAGCCGAACCUUCUUGAAAAUACGGAGGAGAAGACGGUGUGACAUGCUCUGGAGAAGCCGUAGGAUGAAGCAGAAAAUUCACAGAAAAGCUGCAGAUAACAAGGAGUUGCCCCAUAGAUGCUUCUCCCAAGACCUCAUAACGCCAAGUGUGUCCACCUGUUCCUGUUCCUCGGGAGCCAGGACAGCUGGAGAAGCACUGGCGAGGUAGCUUCCAGAACCUUCUGCAGUCUGGCAUUGCCCAGUGUUUUCUCGUGGUGAGUCUGGGGUUAUGGCUUUUGGAAAGAAGGCUCCAGAGAUGAAGAGCCCUUUUCACCCCGCCCCACCCCCUCCCCAGGGCCCCUGUUGUCCUCGAGGUGUCCACGUGUCUCCCAGGCAGUCACAGCGCACACCACCUUGGGGACACAGAGGCAGUGGCUGCGCUGGGAGCAGGCCCCCCAUGAGGAACGGCUUUCUGUCCCCUCCCAUGUAUUCUCACAUGACACAACCCACCCUUUUGCUUUUCGAGCAACUUCCUUACUUUCUGGCAAAACAGCAUGCGCGAAAGCUGUCACCCCAACUCUCCAGCUCAUAACUUGGUCUCUUGGUGAGUCAUUAUUAAGCACCUCCCGCAUACCCACUGUGUCAUGGCACCAGGAAUAAAGUCAGUGUUCAUAAAA